AAAACCCCAGAAAAUUAUUCUCACCUUAUUUAUUUAUUUUUUUCAAAAUUUUUAAUUUGGCUAAAAACGUUUUCUCUCUUUCUUUUGCAGCGUCUCUUUCUCUCUUUCGGUGCCGCCUCUCGCGCUCAAGGAGGAGGAAGACGAAGCAGUUGUGGCUCGUGCCCUAGGAGGAGGAGAAAGACGAUGCUCUUUCGAUGAAAUUAGUUCCCUACUUUAGCAAGAGAAUUUCAGAAUUCAGAUGCGUUUCAAGAAGCUAGAGCCAGCUACUUGGUUCAGUCUCCCACCACUCUCUAAUGCUGUCAAAUCUUGGUUUCCCUCCAUGUUUUCGAUUCUCUUAGAUAGACCAAACCAUGGUGAAUUCAGUGAUGGAUGGAUACCUAGUUCGCUAAUAGAGUGCAGCACCAAGUAAAGCAAAUGGCCCACAAUUUUUUUUCCUAGUUUGAGCUGCUAGUGAUGCAAUGGAUGGCAAGGACCCAUAUGCUACUCUCUCUCUGGGAAACUGGAACUACUUUGCAGCAAUUCGCAAUGAAAAGAGAAAUCCCAAGCUAGAGGCUACUCAUUUGGAAAAGGACAAGGAACUUUAUACUAGAGUUCUAAUUCAACAUUCUUCUAAUUUAUAUGCUGCCAAUGGUGCUGCAGUAGUGUUAGCAGAAAAAGGUCAUUUUGAUGUGUCAUAAGAUAUCUUUACACAGGUUCAAGAAGCUGCCAGUGGUAGUGUUUUUGUCCAGAUGCCUGAUGUUUGGAUAAACCUGGCCCAUGUUUAUUUUGCUCAGGGGAAUUUUGCUUUGGCUGUAAAAAUGGUGAACUUAUCCUAUCUUUAGAUUGUACCCGUUUUUUUGUUUUCAAAUUCCUACUCCCCAAGUCUUUAUGACAACAAUCGAGUGCUGAUGACCUUUUAUAUCAUGUGCAGUACCAAAACUGCUUGCGGAAGUUUUAUCAGGGUCUUUAAAUUUUUGAAUCAUAUACUUUUGGCUUACCGGGUCUUUAUCAUAAUUCGGUUUUUUAA
Molecule: RNA transcript, 1006 nt
Organism: Vigna unguiculata (cowpea)
Lineage: Eukaryota; Viridiplantae; Streptophyta; Magnoliopsida; Fabales; Fabaceae
Gene name: protein CTR9 homolog
Source: RefSeq, a predicted model, not a curated record